CAUGUGUAGUUGAUUGGGCUUUGUACA
This 27-nucleotide non-coding RNA is filed under the name Cricetulus griseus (Chinese hamster). Lineage: Eukaryota; Metazoa; Chordata; Mammalia; Rodentia; Cricetidae. The record is from RNAcentral.